Molecule: long non-coding RNA, 237 nt
Filed under: Elaeis guineensis (African oil palm)
Lineage: Eukaryota; Viridiplantae; Streptophyta; Magnoliopsida; Arecales; Arecaceae
Description: long non-coding RNA (EGUI_LNC007590)
Source: RNAcentral
CAUCGAAACAUCGAUCCAGAAUCGAUUUGAUCUGAAAUAAAAAUAAUUAUUCUACAGCUCCAUUAUAGCUGUCGUCCAACUUUACAAUAACUAUUUUUCAGUUACACUACAGCUAAUUAUUAUGUGGGUGAAUAACCCACGAUCUCUAUACAAUUAACUAUUCUGUUAUAUUAAACUAACGGCCUAACAGAUUUCUAACGGUCUAAUAGAUUCUUAAUGGCUUAACAAACUCUCCUA